This 253-nucleotide ribosomal RNA is filed under the name uncultured bacterium. RNAcentral describes it as "partial 16S ribosomal RNA". It matches the Rfam family "Bacterial small subunit ribosomal RNA", at positions 524 to 776 of the family's 1533-position model. The record is from RNAcentral.
UACGUAGGGUGCAAGCGUUAAUCGGAAUUACUGGGCGUAAAGCGUGCGCAGGCGGUUAUGUAAGACAGGUGUGAAAUCCCCGGGCUUAACCUGGGAACUGCAUUUGUGACUGCAUAGCUAGAGUACGGUAAAGGGGGAUGGAAUUCCGCGUGUAGCAGUGAAAUGCGUAGAUAUGCGGAGGAACACCGAUGGCGAAGGCAAUCCCCUGGGCCUGCACUGACGCUCAUGCACGAAAGCGUGGGGAGCAAACAGG